CUAACUCCGUGCCAGCAGCCGCGGUAAUACGGAGGAUGCAAGCGUAUCCCGGAUUUAUUGGGUUUAAAGGGUGCGUAGGCGGUUGGAUAAGUCAGCGGUGAAAGUUUUCUGCUUAACAGGAAAAAUGCCGUUGAUACUGUCUGGCUAGAAUAUGGUUGCUGUGAGUGGAAUGUGUGGUGUAGCGGUGAAAUGCUUAGAUAUCACACAGAAUAUCGAUUGCGAAGGCAGCUCACGAAGCCAUUAUUGACGCUGAGGCACGAAAGUGUGGGGAUCAAACAGGAUUAGAUACCCUGGUAGUCCACACUGUAAACGAUGAUAACUCGCUGUCGGCGAUACACAGUCGGUGGCCAAGCGAAAGCGAUAAGUUAUCCACCUGGGGAGUACGACCGCAAGGUUGAAACUCAAAGGAAUUGACGGGGGCCCGCACAAGCGGAGGAACAUGUGGUUUAAUUCGAUGAUACGCGAGGAACCUUACCCGGGCUCGAACGGCUUUAGAAUAUAUCAGAGAUGGUAUAGCCAGCAAUGGCUGAAGUCGAGGUGCUGCAUGGUUGUCGUCAGCUCGUGCCGUGAGGUGUCGGCUUAAGUGCCAUAACGAGCGCAACCCUUGUCGUUAGUUACCACCAGGUCAUGCUGGGGACUCUAACGAGACUGCCACCGUAAGGUGUGAGGAAGGGGGGGAUGACGUCAAAUCAGCACGGCCCUUACGUCCGGGGCGACACACGUGUUACAAUGGUAGGUACAGAGGGCAGCUACCCAGUGAUGGGAUGCGAAUCUCUAAAGCCUAUCUCAGUUCGGAUUGGAGUCUGCAACUCGACUCCAUGAAGUUGGAUUCGCUAGUAAUCGCGCAUCAGCCAUGGCGCGGUGAAUACGUUCCCGGGCCUUGUACACACCGCCCGUCAAGCCAUGGAAGCUGGGGGUGCCUGAAGUUCGUGACCGCAAGGAGCGACCUAGGGCAAAACUAGUAACUGGGGCUAAGUCGUAACAAGGUAACCAAU
RNAcentral lists this ribosomal RNA (995 nucleotides) under uncultured Bacteroidota bacterium. Its description in RNAcentral is "bacterial SSU rRNA". It matches the Rfam family "Bacterial small subunit ribosomal RNA", at positions 497 to 1504 of the family's 1533-position model. Lineage: Bacteria; Pseudomonadati; Bacteroidota. The record is from RNAcentral.